Molecule: ribosomal RNA, 498 nt
Filed under: uncultured bacterium
Lineage: Bacteria
Description: partial 16S ribosomal RNA
Rfam family: Bacterial small subunit ribosomal RNA
Source: RNAcentral
GACGAACGCUGGCGGCGUGCCUAAUACAUGCAAGUCGAACGAGAGCGCCCGGUGCUUGCACUGGUCACUCUAGUCGCGCACGGGUGAGUAACGCGUGGGUCACCUGCCCGUCAGUGGGGGAUCACAUCCGGACACGGAUGCUAAAACCGCAUAGGUCUUCGAACCGCGUGGGUUGUAGGGGAGAAGAGGCGCAUGCUUCUGCUGAUGGGUGGUCCCGCGGUGCAUUAGCUAGUUGGUGAGGUAAAGGCUCACCCAGGCCGGGAUGCAUAGCCGACCUGAGGGGGUGGUAGGCCACAUUGGGAGUGAGACACGGCCCAAGCUCCUACGGGAGGCAGCAGUAGGGAAUCGGCCGCAAUGGACGCAAGUCUGACGGAGCAACGCCGCGUGAGUGAAGAAGGUGUUCGGAUCGUAAAACUCUGUUGUUAGAUAAGAACAAGUGCUAGAGUAACUGUUAGCUGCUUGACGGUAGCUAACCAGAAAGCAACGGCUAACUACGUG